This is a long non-coding RNA of Gopherus evgoodei (Goodes thornscrub tortoise), 86 nucleotides long. RefSeq lists it as uncharacterized. Lineage: Eukaryota; Metazoa; Chordata; Testudines; Testudinidae. The transcript is spliced from 3 exons. The record is from RefSeq and is a predicted model, not a curated record.
UGGGGCCAUGCCUGGCUGUUUGAGGAAGCACAGCCUCCCCCAGCCUAUGUUACCUGCUGCCCAUGCCCACCUCAGGACACAGGGCU